GACGAACGCUGGCGGCGUGCUUAACACAUGCAAGUCGAGCGGAAAGGCUCCUUCGGGGGUACUCGAGCGGCGAACGGGUGAGUAACACGUGAGUAAUCUGCCCUUGGCUUUGGGAUAAGCCCCGGAAACGGGGUCUAAUACCGGAUAUGACCGGCCACUGCAUGGUGGUUGGUGGAAAGUUUUUUCGGCCAGGAGUGUGCUCGCGGCCGUAUCAGCUUGUUGGUGGGGUAAGUGGCCUACCAAGGCUUCGACGGGUAGCCGGCCUGAGAGGGUGACCGGCCACACUGGGACUGAGACACGGCCCAGAUCCUACGGGAGGCAGCAGUGGGGAAUAUUGGACAAU
Molecule: ribosomal RNA, 343 nt
Filed under: uncultured bacterium
Lineage: Bacteria
Description: bacterial SSU rRNA
Rfam family: Bacterial small subunit ribosomal RNA
Source: RNAcentral